This 588-nucleotide long non-coding RNA is filed under the name Camelus dromedarius (Arabian camel). Its description in RNAcentral is "lncRNA (ENSCDRG00005001903.1)". Lineage: Eukaryota; Metazoa; Chordata; Mammalia; Artiodactyla; Camelidae. The record is from RNAcentral.
GUUUUCUGUCAGCUUCUCUAAAGAUUCAAGGAUAGAGUUUAAAUUAAGGAUACAUUCAAGGGUACCCUUCAGGGUAGGAACUAACUCUGCACUGAUUUUUAUUUGGUUAGAGAGCAUCCCGAGCAGUGUGUGUAGAUUAUGUAACUAGUCACUCAGGGCCCCUGGCUUCCUGUUAACCUGGCCCUCUUGUGAGGCAGUGCGCUGGGAGCAGCUGGGUCAGGCUCAGCGCUGUUGCCUAGCAGUCCCAGAAGAGGAAUCAUAAGGGGUUGUUGCUGAGCAACCAGGGGGCUGCUGGUGUCGCAUCAUCCCCCACGGAGUUGUACAGUAGCGGUGGGCCCGUCCCCAUGGGAGAAGCAGUACAGCCUGGCAGGGGGCCAAGCCUCCCUCAGAGGAACAAGGGCUGUUAGCAGAGUCAUGGUAUACUGAAAAGGCACUCAAUCAAGAGAAAUCUAGAGGGAGCUGGAAACCAUCAAGUUUUUGAGGCCAUACAGGGGGCAGGAAAGAUAGAGGUGGGUACAUUUUUGAUCCAUCAAUCCUGCUAUGGAGGGUGUCCUGGAAAAUAUCUUUGUUGCUAUAAAGCCAGGGGAC